GAUGAACGCUGGCGGCGUGCCUAAUACAUGCAAGUCGAGCGAACGGACGAGAAGCUUGCUUCUCUGAUGUUAGCGGCGGACGGGUGAGUAACACGUGGAUAACCUACCUAUAAGACUGGGAUAACUUCGGGAAACCGGAGCUAAUACCGGAUAAUAUUUUGAACCGCAUGGUUCAAAAGUGAAAGACGGUCUUGCUGUCACUUAUAGAUGGAUCCGCGCUGCAUUAGCUAGUUGGUAAGGUAACGGCUUACCAAGGCAACGAUGCAUAGCCGACCUGAGAGGGUGAUCGGCCAAACUGGAACUGAGACACGGUCCAGACUCCUACGGGAGGCAGCAGUAGGGAAUCUUCCGCAAUGGGCGAAAGCCUGACGGAGCAACGCCGCGGGAGUGAUGAAGGUCUUCGGAUCGUAAAACUCUGUUAUUAGGGAAGAACAUAUGUGUAAGUAACUGUGCACAUCUUGACGGUACCUAAUCAGAAAGCCACGGCUAACUACGU
RNAcentral lists this ribosomal RNA (496 nucleotides) under uncultured bacterium. RNAcentral describes it as "partial 16S ribosomal RNA". It matches the Rfam family "Bacterial small subunit ribosomal RNA", at positions 28 to 506 of the family's 1533-position model. The record is from RNAcentral.